This 128-nucleotide small nuclear RNA is filed under the name Carlito syrichta (Philippine tarsier). RNAcentral's name for it is "U4 spliceosomal RNA (ENSTSYG00000024702.2)". It matches the Rfam family "U4 spliceosomal RNA". From Rfam's summary of the family: U4 small nuclear RNA (U4 snRNA) is a component of the major U2-dependent spliceosome. The structure of U4 snRNA from yeast and human has been reported. Lineage: Eukaryota; Metazoa; Chordata; Mammalia; Primates; Tarsiidae. The record is from RNAcentral.
AGCUUUGCACAGUGGCAGUACUGUAGCCAAUGAGGUUUAUCUGAGGUGUGAGUAUUACUCAUUGAAAGCUUUUCCCAUAUUGCAUUUAUUAGCUUAUGAUCUACUUUGUUUCUGUAGGUCACAUAUGG